This 3391-nucleotide long non-coding RNA is filed under the name Macaca fascicularis (crab-eating macaque). RNAcentral describes it as "lncRNA (ENSMFAG00000056850.1)". Lineage: Eukaryota; Metazoa; Chordata; Mammalia; Primates; Cercopithecidae. The record is from RNAcentral.
GAGAAAUAGCUGAAUUAGAAAAGAAAGAUAUGGAUAGAUGCUCUUAGGAGGAAAACCUUUUUAGAAUGGCAAUGACUGCUUGGAUCUAGGUCAACAGAUUCCAAAAUGUGUGACCUUGUGUUUGUGUUUACUGAACUCACUCUAGAAAAUUCUGGACCCAAUUCAUUAACCCUCCUUUUCUUUAAUGUGUACUGAAGCUGAGCUGGAUGAUGAGGGAAUUCAUUGCUGACUGUUGCUCAUCACUUUCCCUCAAAGUCAGAAUUUUUCAGUAUAAAAAUAAUUAGCUUUUAACUGAUUAUUAAUUUUCUUUAGUACUGUGAAAACUUGUCUGAAAUUCGUGUUGUGCCAGAUUGGAAAUACCUACUGUAAUAUGGUGCAUUCAUUUUACCCCGUAAGUGGUUUAACAUUUUAGGUCCUAGAUUUUUAAUGUCCUGUCUUUGUGUAAACAUCACUUUGGGGAGUACCGAGAUGAUUCAUUAUUCAGUGAUGAUUUUCUUGAAAGAUAACUAUGAUGAUUGGCUGUAAAAUCUUCAGCCUAAUAAGGAGUGAGAUCUCUGUGUGAACAGCCUUCUGAGGGACUGAUAAUAGAAUAGAACUUGUAGCCAAAGGCUUUUCCCUUUUGAGAAGACGGUAUCUGUGUAGGGAGUGCUAAGGUAGACUUCAUUGUAUAUUGAGGGCCAUAUUCUGAUGCAACAAUCAUAACAAAAUCAAAAGCUCAUGCUUCAGCAAAAAGGAAAAAAGAUCUUUAAAUUACUUUGUCUGUUACUGCUCAUAGAGAACUAUAUAAAAUGGUCCCAUUUUCUCAUUUCUGGUGGUGCCUGUGAGUCUUAAAGCCAUAUCUGCUUAUCUUACUGUUGAUAGAAUACUUUUUUCUUUUUAGCCCAUGGUAAGUAAUAUGGGCAGGUAGAAGCAAACUGGAGACUGUCCUGUUAAUGCUGCAUGGGGCACAGUGUCAUUCAAAUUAUUGGUGGAAGAAUCUCUUUUAUCCAUGGUGAGAGGUAAGAAUAUUAAAGGAAAGAGUCAGGAUAUUGUUGCUCCUGGUAUUUAACAACUGUCAUUAGAAAUGCUGAAAUUUAAUUCUAGAGAAGUCAAGAAAGAAGGAGUAAACUGAGAAAAUCUUACUACUGCAGAGUAACUUUUACAAUGAGACCUGCACUUUAUGCCAGCGCUGUUUGUGAGGAGCAGUACUGCCUUAAAUUAGUUUGACUCUGACCGAUGUCAGUGUACGUUCCUUCCUUUAUGUGACUGACAGUCAACUUUCCAUUGAGAUCUAACAUUCACAGAUGAUCCCCAAGCAUCCUUGUCAUCAGAAGCUUUGGACCUUUUCUGCCACUGACUUAUGGCUGAUCUGUUACACAAUAAAUACAUAAUUUUAUUUCAUGUUGUCUGUCAACCUCUGAAUAAACAGUGGCAUGACCAAAAAGACUGGUAGAAGGAGAGAGAAUUUCCUGGCCAAAUCCUUCAUACCAGGUGGCCACUUCUUGAGUAAUUGAGAGUUGACUGUCUUCUAUGGUGACGAUAUAGAAGAUACUUCCAAAGGUUCUGUUAUGCAGUGAAGACAUUCAGAUUAUUUGUAAGAAUUUCACCAACACCCUUGUGUAUUGAAGUGCUUAACCAUUAACAGAAAAAAAGGAGAAAACCAAAACAGAGACAUUUACUUGAAAUGGAAGAUUUGCUAAUGUGAAGAGUGUUUCUAUUUUAUUACUUUUAAGAGAAAAGCAGGAAAACUUUUGCUGUGAUAAGAAAGACACCAGAGUGGUGAUUCUAUUUGAUACCACAAGCUAACACAAUCGUGUGAGUACUCAUGUUGAGUUGUAGAAAUAUGUGGCUCUAAAAACCAUUCUCUUUCCCUUACAUAUACAUAUGUGAACACUGCCUAGUAACAUUUUAAUAGGUUUAAGAUGCAUUUGUACAUUCUCAGCAAACUAGAAAAUGUUUUUUCUCUUUUUGAGUAACUUCAUAGCAUAGGGAACCAGCACUGUGCAGGUUUCAGCAUUUCAGAUAAGGACAGAAUUAAUUGUGUAACUUAGUGCCCUGUUAUUCAUUGCUGAGGUUCCUAUAUAAAGAACAGAAAAAUUGAAAGAUGGGUUUGAGCAACAUUUUCUUCACAAAAGAUCAAGGAGUAAGAACAAGUAAGGGAAGACAGCUAAGAGAACAUACUAUGACAUACAGAAUUGGGAUAAAUUUUUGUCGUGCUGGAUUUCAGGCUAUAAUUGCUAAAAUAAUUUCUAGCUAUUAAAUUUGGCGACAGGGUUUUUGACAUCAGAAUUUUUGUACUUCUGGUCAAAUUGGCCUUGGAAAUCCCUAUGGUCUCUAAUUUCAGCUCUUGCUGUAAACUGCAAGCCAAAUGCUGUUUCUCAGAAAGAGCUAUAUUUUUCUCUUCUUACAGGCAACCCAGUAUUUAUUUCAUAAAGUGUUAUAAAUAUUGAGAGGAUACACUGGGGAGAUAGAAUAUAAAAGUGAUGCUCCAAAAUGAGAAUUCUCUGUAAUGGGGUUUUCCCUAAGAAGAAUCCAUCCCAGCACCUAUUUUGAAAAGGUGCUGAAUUAAAAAGUACAAGAGUUUGCUCAUAUAAAUCAAGUUGCUCAGGAAAUCUGAGGUGAUGCUGUCAUUUGUCUCAUAAUUUAGAAAAGUGAUCUCUUGAGAGAGAGACUACACGUUGCCUGGGCACUUUCAGAUUCUUUAGUAAGUGCCACUUUGAUAUUUGGAAUGUGGAUAUGUUUAUAAAACAAAUGGAUCGUUAUUCCAAAUGCUCAUGGAUUUAUAACCAAGCCCCAGAAGAAUAUGCAGCUUUGAAAUAGUUAUUUCGUGGAAUUGAACAGAACCUUGAUGGAAUAUAGUUGCCUGUGUGAGGACAGAAAACAAAGAGACUGCCUCAAACUACAUGCCUAUCUAGACAUUAAGUGAAACUGUGAGGGACAUUUUGUGGAUGCCUUAAAGGUGACCAGUGGUGGGUUCUGAUGGGAAUAUACACACCCAUCUGGACUAGGCCAAUGGAAGCAGAGUCUCUUUCAGUUCACCUCCAUACAGCAGAAGUUGUUCCUGCUCAUGACCUCAUUGAGGAAAAUGAGAAUUGUGGUGCUGGUGACUUCCUGUGUCUUGGGAGGUUCAGGUGUUCAAAUCGUUAAGGCAUUCUCAAAACACAAACCUCCUCUUUUAAAUGCCAAUUGUACAUCUACAUUAAUUCAUCUAUGCAAGCUUGUGUUUUCAUGGUUUGUUUUUUACACCAUAUUUCUCAUUGGGUUCUUUAAACAUCAAGUUUAAUAUUGAUAUUAUGAAUAAUUUUUAAACCAAAGUAUUCUCUAAGUCUUUGUGCUUUGUUUUCCUGGAUGGUUUGACCAAGGUAAAUAUCAAUCUUGUCCUUCUCUCUUAAUAAAGUCAUCCAUUUGUUAA